Molecule: long non-coding RNA, 2773 nt
Organism: Triticum dicoccoides
Lineage: Eukaryota; Viridiplantae; Streptophyta; Magnoliopsida; Poales; Poaceae
Exons: 4
Source: RefSeq, a predicted model, not a curated record
GAAGCUCGGCGCCACGCCAGGCGCUCGCCCCGACCCGCCUUCCUCCGCCGCCUCGCCGCAUCUGCCGGCCUCACCGGAGAUCACCGCCGCCGCGACCAGGUCACGUCGCUGCACCUGCCUUCUCCUCAUCCCUCUCAUUCCUUCCUCCCUCUCACCAUCUCUCUCUCUCCCUCUCAUUGCAGCGGCGCCAUGGCCGCCCCGAGCUUCGCCGGCAGCCGCAUCGCCUGCCUCCGGCCACGACUCUGGCGGGAUCCAGCCGCCCCUGCCCGGAUCCGCAUCCUCCGCUCCGCCGUGCCCCCGAUCCGGCCACCACCAAGCCUCCCGCAUUGAUCCGCCCGUCCACCGGCCUCCCCCUGCUCGAUUCGGUUUGACGAGCGAAGUUAAAUGUCUUGUGGUGUCGAGGACAAUAGUUUUUUUAGCUCCCGCAUGGUGAGUUGAGGAGGUUCUAUUUAGUUUUUGAUCUGUCGUGAGCGAUUCCUGUAUGGAAUUGGUAGAUCUUUGUGAAAAUUCGUACAUAUCUCAGUGCUCUGCGUUCUACUCCUGUAUGGAGUACUUGUUACUGUCGCUUUAGUCCUUUCAUUCUUUGAUCCUUAAAUGUGAGUUGCUGCGGUGAAUUAGCAGCUCAUUGGUGAAUCCAUGAAUCGGCGGUGAUGAAUUAGCAACUUGAUCUUGAACUUCAGGUGAUAUGAUGCGGCUGGUUCCGGGUUCUGUGCUCUUCUGAAGGUGAACACAUGCCAGGAAGGAAAGCUUGUCUGGUCGUGGCGCGGCAUAGGAUGGAUUGAUGGUUGCUUCCUUUCGAACCACACAAACCCCUUCUAGCAUGGUCGAGAUGAUCAAAAUGGAGGAGGGUCUCAGUAUGUGGCUGUUUGUUUCCUUGGUACUGAAAUGCUAUCAAGCAGCUGGCUUCAGUGGCGGAGCUUCCUGUAGACCAACAGACACCACAAGACAUCAUAAUGACCUGCAGGUUAGGGAGGAGGGUCGGGGCAACCACAAAUUCCGUCCUGCACUGCUUCAACACCGGUCUAUUCUAGCAUGAAUCUUCUACCGUAAGGAUUUGAUGCAGCAAGGGCCAUUUGUUUGACAGAAAUAGAGUUGUUACCGCAAGAAGUACAAAUCAAGGACUGAGGAGGGACGAGUGCGGAUUUGAUCUAAGUUGGGUUACUUUCUAUGAAUAGAUGGUGUGAUUGCUUUGUCAUUUCAUUUAAUUAAUAGAAAAUUGAUGAGGCAAUUGGAAGAAUCGAGCAGCAAUUUUACUACAGAUCUGCGCCAUUGAUUUGGUCAUCUCUGUCAGUAGCAAGUUACAUAAGAAAGGGUGGUGGCGUUGCAGAGGCGUGAAUGAAAAAGUUAGUCUGGGAUACAAUUAUAAUUGUGAGUCCCUCAAUUAUAGAGCGGAUCCAGGUGAAAGAUGUAGGUGGUGUGUGGAUUGAACUCUAGAUCGGGAACCUGCAGUACUAGAUGGACGAUAACUAUGCUUACAAUUGUUGAUCGAGAACUGUGAGACUGCAGAUCGAUGUACUUUGUCCGUCUUUCCUUCACCAAAGCAUGCGUUGUGAGAUCAUGAUUACUACCAGGUACAACAUUGCAAUUUAUUUUCCAGAAUGUUCCUUGAACACACUCCCAAGUUACCAACCAUCAGCAAUUAUAGUCUCCUCAAUUCGGAUGCAUAGGAAUGCAACUUUUAUCCGAAUGUGCAACAAAAGCAUGUUGUUUGUAUCUGUUGACCAUUGAAAUCCCAAGACCAAUGCAUGGAGAAGUAGCCUGUGAACCCUAAGUUAUUUAUUGAGAAAUUAAACCACAUAUUUGACUACUUAUUGAUCUCCGAUCUCUAUAAAUUAUCCUUAAUCUGUUUUUUGUGAAGACAGCGGAUGAGAAAGAAACAGUAUCCAGGACCGUGUACUAUACUAACAUUGUAAUUAUGGGUCCAUGCCACCUAUUUCUAUUUUGAAGCUGUUCUUUUAGGAACAGAUGAUUACACAUGAAGUAAUGUUUUCCAUGACUAUGUACUAUACUAACAUUAGAAAUUAUGGGUCCAUGCUAGGUAUUUAUAUUUUGAAGCAAUUCCGUCAGGAACAGAUGAUCACACAAUAUCUUUUGAUAAAUCCUUUUUACCUAGCUUCUGAUUUCUAUUAUCAGAAACAGAUUGUCUGUUCUUACAGGAAACAUGUACAAACAGCCGUUAUUCGUUAUUGUGCUCUUCCAUGUUGCGCCGCUGACAAGAGGAUGGAGGGUUUUAGUCGUCGUCGCGGAGAAGAAGGGUAACCACCAAGCAGGAGAGAGGGAGGAAAGCUAUGCCCGUUCGCUGGAAGCCAGGCAACCCGGCGCCAUCGUCGAGGAGAGCGAGGAGGGGCUAGAUUGCGCCGCCAUAGAGGUGAGCUAUGAGGGGCUGCGGCGUCCUUGCAUAGGAGGGGGGAGAGAAGCCGCCACCACACCACGUGAUUCUACUUGAAACUCCUCGGAGCUUGCACCAGGCUCAAGCGUGAGUCCACUGAUCUUCAUAUUCAGGCUGCAACAUUUUCUGAAUUUUAAGUUUGGCUGAAGAUGCUCUUACUCGUACACUAGAUCAACUGUACAAAUUGCUCUAAAUGUACUGCUUGACUGCUUGUCUUUAUUUUAAUCAUUUUCUUUGGCAGCUCUAAAUUUUUAGUUUGGCUCAUUGUCUUUCUCUGGUGUACAAAUGCUUUCAAUUUUUAGUUUGGCUCGUUGUCUCUUCAGAAAUCUGAAGAAAACUAUACUGUGGAAGGAUGGCAAUAUUAUUUGCUGCUUCUCAUCAAUU